AACGAACGCUGGCGGCAUGCCUAACACAUGCAAGUCGAACGAGACCUUCGGGUCUAGUGGCGCACGGGUGCGUAACGCGUGGGAACCUGCCCUUAGGUUCGGAAUAACUCCCCGAAAGGGGUGCUAAUACCGGAUAAUGUCUUCGGACCAAAGAUUUAUCGCCUUUGGAUGGGCCCGCGUUGGAUUAGCUAGUUGGUAGGGUAAAAGCCUACCAAGGCGACGAUCCAUAGCUGGUCUGAGAGGAUGAUCAGCCACACUGGGACUGAGACACGGCCCAGACGACGGAGGGAGGCGGCAGUAGAGAAGAGGGAAGAACGGGAGAAAGCAUGAGCAGUGAAGGACGUGGUAGUAAAGAAUGUCGUUGGUUUGUAAAGUGUUGUUCCCCGUGAAGACAAAGACAGAACAGGGAGAAGAAGCCGCCGCAAACUCCGUCACAGCGGCCGGGGUAAUAAUCGGAAGAGAACCCGUAUGAAU
This 474-nucleotide ribosomal RNA is filed under the name uncultured bacterium. RNAcentral describes it as "partial 16S ribosomal RNA". It matches the Rfam family "Bacterial small subunit ribosomal RNA", at positions 33 to 541 of the family's 1533-position model. The record is from RNAcentral.